This 421-nucleotide ribosomal RNA is filed under the name uncultured bacterium. RNAcentral's name for it is "bacterial SSU rRNA". It matches the Rfam family "Bacterial small subunit ribosomal RNA", at positions 355 to 774 of the family's 1533-position model. The record is from RNAcentral.
UAAGGAAUAUUGGUCAAUGGACGCGAGUCUGAACCAGCCAUGCCGCGUGAAGGAUGAAGGUCCUCUGGAUUGUAAACUUCUUUUAUCUGGGACGAAAACGGGAUUUUUAUCUCAAUUGACGGUACCAGAGGAAUAAGCACCGGCUAACUCCGUGCCAGCAGCCGCGGUAAUACGGAGGGUGCGAGCGUUAUCCGGAUUUACUGGGUUUAAAGGGUGCGUAGGUGGGCUUAUAAGUCAGUGGUGAAAUCUCCGAGCUCAACUUGGAAACUGCCGUGGAUACUAUAGGUCUUGAAUUAUCUGGAGGUAAGCGGAAUAUGUCAUGUAGCGGUGAAAUGCUUAGAUAUGACAUAGAACACCGAUUGCGGAGGCAGCUUGCUACGCAAAUAUUGACGCUGAGGCACGAAAGCGUGGGGAUCAAACA